AUUAAGAGCCCAGUGGGCCUGGUGCUGACAAUUAUGACAGGCCUAAUUACAGAAUCAUAUCGACCAAAAACAAUAAAACACUCCCAAGCGUCAUGUAUUUGAUGGAGAUGGUGCUGGAGAGAAAGAAAACAGCAGCUAUAAGAAAACACAUACCCUAGGCUAAUCUCUCUCUAAUUUAUGUUUUUAUCUUUCAAGUAAAUCCAUACCCCUAUCAGCAGUGUCCAGUCAAGCAAGAAGUCAAUGGGCACGGUAAAAGGGUGUGCCACUGACACAAAU
Molecule: non-coding RNA, 276 nt
Organism: Pelobates cultripes (western spadefoot toad)
Lineage: Eukaryota; Metazoa; Chordata; Amphibia; Anura; Pelobatidae
Source: the annotation of a GenBank genome assembly